CAAACUACCAUCUCACUAAAUAAGCCAAAACUCUUUCUCUUCCACCCUUCCCAAGAUUCAUUCAAUCUCUCUCUUCUCUACGAUUUCAACCUCCAACCAUCUUCUUCUUAAAUCUUCUCCAUUUUUAGUUUCCCUCUGUUUCUUCAUCAUCAAAUUUUUAGUUUCCCCUAUUCCGAUUUGUUUUUUGGAUCUUAAGGCACUGAUUAGGGAGCGUUGUGGUUGUUGGUAUGGGCAUAGAGGGAAACAUAUUGCCACAUUGAAACACAGAUCUCUCUCAUCUUAUUUUCAUUCCUCCUAUCACUCACCACAAGAUCUGAAUCGGUUUUAUCAGCCAAAGCUUCCUUCACUUCAAUCUCAGUUCUUUGCCAAUCACCAAGAUUGCAUUGACCAAAUCGCUUUAUGAUUUCAUCUAAGAUCCACCAUUGAUUUUUGGAUUCAAGCUUACAGUGUGAUAAUAAAGACCGCAGACGGAUUGAAGUUUUGAUUGAAGCUGGAUGUACCAAUCUUUCUUUUAAGAUCCACAGCUAAUUCAGGGAAUUACUUUAGCUAUGUGCGUUUUGAUGAAAAAGCAUGGCAUUUGGUGGAUGACUCUAAAUUUCAGGUGAUGGCUGAUAGGGAGAAGAAAUUAUUGAUUCUAUUUUUUUCUUUGGCUAUUGUUUCAAUCUUUAAAGAU
This is a long non-coding RNA of Vicia villosa (hairy vetch), 673 nucleotides long. RefSeq lists it as uncharacterized. The transcript has 4 exons. NCBI's taxonomy places the organism in Eukaryota, Viridiplantae, Streptophyta, Magnoliopsida, Fabales, Fabaceae. The record is from RefSeq and is a predicted model, not a curated record.